CAGUAGCCGCGGUAAUACGUAGGGUGCAAGCGUUAAUCGGAAUUACUGGGCGUAAAGCGUGCGCAGGCGGUUAUAUAAGACAGAUGUGAAAUCCCCGGGCUCAACCUGGGAACUGCAUUUGUGACUGUAUAGCUAGAGUACGGCAGAGGGGGAUGGAAUUCCGCGUGUAGCAGUGAAAUGCGUAGAUAUGCGGAGGAACACCGAAGGCGAAGGCAAUCCCCUGGGCCUGUACUGACGCUCAUGCACGAAAGCGUGGGGAGCAAACAGGAUUAGAUACCCCAGUAGUCCCUGUCUCUUAUAC
RNAcentral lists this ribosomal RNA (301 nucleotides) under uncultured bacterium. Its description in RNAcentral is "partial 16S ribosomal RNA". It matches the Rfam family "Bacterial small subunit ribosomal RNA", at positions 509 to 807 of the family's 1533-position model. The record is from RNAcentral.